GGCAGAAAGUGGAAAAGAAAUAUUGAAACAUAGAAUGUCUAAAUUCCACCGGGCUCCUGGCUUUCCUGUAGCAAGGAAGAGUUGGACAUCUCUGACUGACUACAACUUUGUCUGAAUUCCAGCUCCAAUAGUCACCCCUGUGCUCUGCUAGCAAGCUGUGCUGAACCAGGUGUUUCUGCUAAGGACCAGGGACCAGCUGACCUUCUCUCAUAAAAGGGGAGAGGAGACCAGACCAUCUCCACUGAGAAGGCAAGCAGGAGUGGAGCAGCUUUAGGUGACAGCAGACUCCUCUUUAGCCUUGAAAUGAGCAUCUCCUGGCUGGGCUCAGAAGAGCUGGUUGUCAAUGGGAAGCCUGCGCAACAGGAAGGAGAAUGACUGGAAAGACCUAGUAAUCUCUCCUGCAACCCCAGUGAUGCAGUGAAAGGAGCCUCCAUUGUUUUGCCUUCAGCAAAGUUUGCUGGGAAAGCAGCUAUCCUGUGAUAGACAAAAUAAGUACAGCCUUCUAAGAGGAAAGGAUACGAACAGGUUUGCACUGCCAUCUUCAGCCCUAGGAAAAAAUGGAGUCUUUCACGCAGCAGGCAGAACAUGUGGCUAAACAGGGAUUCCCACAGCCUGCUAGAGCA
Molecule: long non-coding RNA, 623 nt
Organism: Poecile atricapillus (Black-capped chickadee)
Lineage: Eukaryota; Metazoa; Chordata; Aves; Passeriformes; Paridae
Exons: 3
Source: RefSeq, a predicted model, not a curated record